RNAcentral lists this ribosomal RNA (164 nucleotides) under uncultured bacterium. RNAcentral's name for it is "partial 16S rRNA". It matches the Rfam family "Bacterial small subunit ribosomal RNA", at positions 355 to 511 of the family's 1533-position model. The record is from RNAcentral.
UAGGGAAUCUUCCACAAUGGACGAAAGUCUGAUGGAGCAACGCCGCGUGAGUGAAGAAGGGUUUCGGCUCGUAAAACUCUGUUGUUGAAGAAGAACAUAUCUGAGAGUAACUGUUCAGGUAUUGACGGUAUUUAACCAGAAAGCCACGGCUAACUACGUGCCAA